AUACGUGGUUGGGGAGGUCACUUAGAUAUGCCUAUGAAGGAUCAUGCCUGUGGACAUUCAUAGGAUUCCUGCAGGGAAGAAAGAGAGAGGAGCCCUUUAAGGCUUAAAGGGGCAGCCUGGGUACAGGAAGCACUAGAUUUGAAGCUGGAACAUCUGGCUUCUAGACUUGGUUCUGCCACGAAUGAGCUGUGUGAGCUUGGACAAACCCUUCGGCAAGGGUCUCAGGAAGUGAUCCCAACCAGAAGACAGCCCCCGGAGUUACAGGCAAAAUCAAGUCUAAGUGUGCUUGGGGAGAGGGUUUGCAGUAGCCAGUAGCCUUUUUAAAAGAGUCUGGGACCUUGAAAAGACCAGGAGCAACCGAACCAGUGGCCUUUCAGGGUGCUUUAAUGGACAAAAAGGAGGCAACCUCUUGCCUGAGAAACCGCUCAGGGCAGGUUUGCUGGUGCCCCCUGCGCUACGCAGCCCGUUUGGCAGAGACAGUUCCCCGAACGACCGACAGAUGGCGCGCUAAACCUUCACUGUAGCCUUCCUGUUUCCUACCACUUGUCAGGCUAUGUACUAGGCACUGUGCCAGCGACUGGGGCAACUACCCCCAGGCAGGAUUUCUCACUCCUAAAGGACUAAAUGCAAAGAGCAAGUCAGACAAGCUCAUAGCCCAGGCUGCUAGCAUGCGACACUUUGCAAUCUACACUUCCCUGGACCCCAGAAACGAUUCAGCUGGCUGCACCCUGAUGUUUAAAGCCUUAAUGAGAGAACCCACUUUCUUCUUCUCAGCCUGACAGCCUAGAGCACCAUUAAAUUCAUAUAUUUUGGCAUUUGAUUUAUUUAAUCUGACACUCAAGCAAACUGUCUUAUACUCUUCUCUAAUAGUGUGGAAGAGAGGAGUGUGCAAGGAUAUGGUGUGAUUCAAAAGCUUUGGAGUCUGUCUUGGAUUUUGCCACUUCCUAGCUGUGUGACCUUAGGCAAGUUAAUUACCCAUUCUGAACUUCACCUUUUUCAUCUGUCAAAAUGGGGUUGAUGAUCAUCCCUAUCUCCCAGGAUUGUGCUGAUUCACAGAGAUCAUGCAUAGGAGGCCCUUAGUAUGGUCUUUGGCACAUAGUACAUGGUCAGUCAAUGAUAGCUCCUCCUCCUUUUAUUAUUUAUUAAUGUACAUGUGGCUCUUGUCUCUGUUUUGAUAUGAGAAGACCUUUGAGAAGUAUGGGCCACGCCUGAAUCCAUUUUUAUGAACUUCAAUAUGCCUAGCAGUUUGCGAGUACAUCCUAGGCACUCAGUAAUUGAAUUCUAUUGUAUGGAAGAAUCAGGACAGUUUCUCUACAACUGUGGUUCUCAAAGUGUGGUCUCCAGAGCAGCAGCAGCAGCACCACCUGGGAAUUUGUUAGAAAUGCAGAUUUUUUUAAACCCACCUCAGACUGGCAAUCUGGGUUUCAACAAACCUCCAGUGAUUCUGACACUUUUUUAAGUUGGAGAAUCACAUUCCUACAUCAAUGAUUUCCAAACUUGUUGUAGCUGUGGCAAUGUAUAUAUAUUUUUUAAAUUUCCAAGUGGAAUUGUAUGCAUGAGCCAAUAUAUAAAAAAAGUGAAGGAGGAGGUAUGAGAAAUCAUUGGG
Long non-coding RNA from Canis lupus familiaris (dog), 1606 nucleotides. RefSeq lists it as uncharacterized. The transcript has 3 exons. Lineage: Eukaryota; Metazoa; Chordata; Mammalia; Carnivora; Canidae. The record is from RefSeq and is a predicted model, not a curated record.